Molecule: long non-coding RNA, 1349 nt
Filed under: Helianthus annuus (common sunflower)
Lineage: Eukaryota; Viridiplantae; Streptophyta; Magnoliopsida; Asterales; Asteraceae
Description: hypothetical non coding rna
Source: RNAcentral
UUUGCUUUCUUGGAUUUGAUAACCAUGAUUGUAGCAUACGGGUUUCGUGAAGAAUUUCAAUUGCAGUGCCAAUGAUAUCUUGAAAGAAGCUACAUUAAUAUAUUUAAGUUUGAAGGGCAUGUUAAACAUGUAGAAGAUUACAGUUUAUGAAGAGGCUGACUUAGCUGCGCACACUUCUAGAAGCGACGCUAUUACGACAUCUUCCGCGAGUUCUACGUAUUUGAUAAGAACGAAGUUGACAGUUGUUGUACCGACGUGACACAAGGAUCGACUUUUAAAGAAUCUUCAAGAUGGUGUGAAGAGACAUGCUCUUUCAGCCCUUAAUGGAUAUGGUAUCAAGAGACAUGCUCUUUCAACCCUCAUUGGAGGUACAUUGAUAGCAAAGGAAGAAGAAACUUCAAAAGCUGAAGAAUCGGUGAAGAAUGAAACAAUGUGCUCAACAUGCGAUAACUUUAAGACUGACAAUGACAAACUUGUGAGAGACAUAGAAAGUUUGGCAUUUGAAGUCAAAAAGUUGAAAGACGAGAAGCACGUUGCUGAAAACCAGAUUCUUUCUCUGGAAAAAGAUUGUGAAAAGUUGAAAGCAGAAAAUGACAAACUGUUGAUUGAUUUUAACAGUUUGACUUUGAAAAAUCAAGAAUUUGAGGGGCAAGUGAAAAUUCUUGAAGAUGAGAAAAGUGUGUUUAGUAAAAACAACAUUGAAAAACAAAAGAUGAUAAAUUCCCAUCUUCAGAAAAUUGUCGAACUUGAAAAAGAAGGUGAAAGCGCUCAAAAGAGAAUCAAAGAGUUAGAAAAAGAGCUUGAAAGCAAAAAGAAAUCGUCAGAAGAUGAGGAUUUCUGGAUAAAGCUUGAAAACAAGAAUCUAAAAGCAAAUGAAUCAAAAUUUCAGGAACAGAUCAAAAUUUUGAUAAAUGAAAAGUCUGUUCUUGAAAGUUUGAAGGUUGAGAAUGACAAUUCCAUCAAGUCUCAUCUUGAGAGAAUAUCUCAGCUUGAGGAAGAAGCUAAGAAUUCCAGGACCAAGAUAGAUAAACUUGAGAAGAAAUUGAUCAGUUUUGCGACUAAAUCUGACAAGUUGAAUAUUCCUUGUCCAAAACCGAUCAAUUCAGUUCCAAUAAGUGACAAUGUCACAAACUUUGACACUGUCAAAGUUGAAGAUUGUGAUGAGACACCUGAUGAUGAAAAUGUUAAAAAAGAAAAACAAAAAUUGUUUUUAAAUUUGAAAGAAAAAUUUCAGAAAACUGUUCUGCAAUCAACUGAAAAAGGUGAAUGCUCUAAGCAAAAGUCUUUGAAGAAGAAAGCAGAACAGAAACAAAAAGAUAAUAAAAGUUCAUCGGGUCGAUCAUCCAAUC